UACGGAAGGCAGCAGUGGGGAAUAUUGCACAAUGGGCGCAAGCCUGAUGCAGCCAUGCCGCGUGUAUGAAGAAGGCCUUCGGGUUGUAAAGUACUUUCAGUCGUGAGGAAGGUGUUAAGGUUAAUAACCUUAACAAUUGACGUUAGCGACAGAAGAAGCACCGGCUAACUCCGUGCCAGCAGCCGCGGUAAUACGGAGGGUGCGAGCGUUAAUCGGAAUUACUGGGCGUAAAGGGCACGCAGGCGGUUAAUUAAGUUGGAUGUGAAAUCCCCGGGCUUAACCUGGGAAUGGCAUUCAAGACUGGUUAGCUAGAGUCUUGUAGAGGGGGUAGAAUUCCAUGUGUAGCGGUGAAAUGCGUAGAGAUGUGGAGGAAUACCGGUGGCGAAGGCGGCCCCUGGACAAAGACUGACGCUCAUGUGCGAAAGCGUGGGGAGCAAACAGGGAUUAGAUACC
This 453-nucleotide ribosomal RNA is filed under the name uncultured bacterium. RNAcentral's name for it is "bacterial SSU rRNA". It matches the Rfam family "Bacterial small subunit ribosomal RNA", at positions 340 to 786 of the family's 1533-position model. The record is from RNAcentral.